This 438-nucleotide long non-coding RNA is filed under the name Phascolarctos cinereus (koala). RNAcentral describes it as "lncRNA (ENSPCIG00000001052.2)". Lineage: Eukaryota; Metazoa; Chordata; Mammalia; Diprotodontia; Phascolarctidae. The record is from RNAcentral.
CUUGCUUUUGUUCCCCCUUCAAAGACUCUGAAAAAAGUUACUAUUUCUAGCAAAAUGACAGCUGCCCUAGUUAACAAAGGAGUUGACAAAGGGUAAGAAUGUGAAUGCUGAUCCUGUUGUAUCAACGUAGAUGAGAUUGCUGUUUCCUUCAGAAAACAACUUUUCCUCCUAUGGUUCUGAUCCAGGAGAAGACAGCUGCCCUUAAUUAUCUCCCUGCUUCACUUUUUCUCUGAGAAAGGAUAGAAUUAAUGCUUGAAAGGCCAAAAUGUACCCCUGGAUAUUUCCUAUCCAUCCUUGUUGACUUCAAUAGGACAGAGGAAGAAACAGUUAUUCCCAUACCCUGUGUGGGUGCUGCCUAGAACACUGAUAACUAGUGCAAUCAGUCCUUGUCCUUCAAUACAGUGAGAAUAUGGAUGAAUGCCAACCCUUUUGUAAGUC